CGCGAAACCUUUACACUGCACGCAAGUGCGAUAAGGGGACCCCGAGUGCGAGGGCAUACAGUCCUCGCUUUUCACUACCGUACGAUGGUAGUGGAAUAAGAGCUGGGCAAGACCGGUGCCAGCCGCCGCGGUAAWACCGGCAGCUCGAGUGAUGGCCGAUCUUAUUGGGCCUAAAGCGUUCGUAGCCGGCCACACAAGUCCACCGGGAAAUCCGCCAGCCCAACUGGCGGGCGUCCGGUGGAAACUGUGUGGCUAGGGACCGGAAGACCCGAAGGGUACGUCUUGGGUAGGAGUGAAAUCCUGUAAUCCUGGACGGACCGCCGAUAGCGAAAGCACUUCGGGAAGACGGAUCCGACGGUGAGGGACGAAAGCCAGGGUCUCGAACCGGAUUAGAUACCCGGGUAGUCCUGGCCGUAAACGAUGUCUGCUAGGUGUGGCUCCACUACGAGUGGGUGCUGUGCCGUAGGGAAGCCGCUAAGCGGACCGCCUGGGAAGUACGUCCGCAAGGAUGAAACUUAAAGGAAUUGGCGGGGGAGCACUACAACCGGAGGAGCCUGCGGUUUAAUUGGAAUCA
This 574-nucleotide ribosomal RNA is filed under the name uncultured haloarchaeon. RNAcentral's name for it is "bacterial SSU rRNA". It matches the Rfam family "Archaeal small subunit ribosomal RNA", at positions 340 to 914 of the family's 1478-position model. Lineage: Archaea; Methanobacteriati; Methanobacteriota; Halobacteria; Halobacteriales; Halobacteriaceae. The record is from RNAcentral.